Acanthosepion pharaonis is the source of this 111-nucleotide non-coding RNA. NCBI's taxonomy places the organism in Eukaryota, Metazoa, Mollusca, Cephalopoda, Sepiida, Sepiidae. The record is from the annotation of a GenBank genome assembly.
UCGGUCAUAUCACGUUUAUACACCGGUUCUCGUACGAUCACCAAAGUUGAGCAACGUUGAGCCUGGUCAGUAUUUAGAUGGGUAACUACUUGGGAAUACCAGAUGCUGUAA